UGUGGCGUGUCUCAAUUGGGAGGAAGAUGCCCAAGUGAACAGAUUAAGUUCCAAACUGAGAAUCUUAUUUCACUGUCCAGCAGCUUUAAUAUGGGUUGAUGGAAGAUUUUUCAAAAUCGUCAAAGGAUCAGGAGCUCGAUGUUUCUUGAACUUCUCUAAACUCUGACAAUUCAUCCUUGGAAUGGUAAAGGAUGUUUGCAUGUACCUCCUGGUCCUUGUUGUGUGGAUUUGGCUCUAUAUAAGGAACAUCAAAUUGUGAUGUUGCUAAAUAAGAUGAAUGAUACUCGUGAAAACUUGGAAGAUGCCGAGAUGAUGAUCUUGCAGGCCAGUGACCUUCCAUUUGUGCAUAUUGCAGGAACCACUUGUGCAAAUAACUGGGAGUUGUACCAAUUGAA
This is a long non-coding RNA of Rhodamnia argentea, 395 nucleotides long. RefSeq lists it as uncharacterized. The transcript is spliced from 3 exons. NCBI's taxonomy places the organism in Eukaryota, Viridiplantae, Streptophyta, Magnoliopsida, Myrtales, Myrtaceae. The record is from RefSeq and is a predicted model, not a curated record.